This 314-nucleotide ribosomal RNA is filed under the name uncultured eukaryote. RNAcentral's name for it is "partial 18S ribosomal RNA". It matches the Rfam family "Eukaryotic small subunit ribosomal RNA", at positions 1470 to 1796 of the family's 1831-position model. The record is from RNAcentral.
CCCUUAGAUGUUCUGGGCCGCACGCGCGCUACACUGACGAAUUCAACGAGCUUAUAACCUUGGCCGAAAGGUCUAGGUAAUCUCCAAAAUUCGUCGUGAUGGGGAUAGAUUAUUGCAAUUAUUAAUCUUCAACGAGGAAUGCCUAGUAAGCGCAAGUCAUCAGCUUGCGUUGAUUACGUCCCUGCCCUUUGUACACACCGCCCGUCGCACCUACCGAUUGAAUGGUCCGGUGAAGCCUCCGGAUUGGCGCGCACCUCGGUGCCGCCGAGAAGUUGGCUAAACCUUACCAUUUAGAGGAAGGUGAANUCGUAACA